CUCAGAAUCAACGCUGGCGGCGUGCCUAACACAUGCAAGUCGAACGAGAAAGGGGAGCAAUCCCUGAGUAAAGUGGCGCACGGGUGAGUAACACGUGACUAACCUACCCUGGAGUGGGGGAUAACUGAGGGAAACCUUAGCUAAUACCGCAUAAUACCUACGGGUCAAAGGAGCAAUUCGCUUUGGGAGGGGGUCGCGGCCGAUUAGUUAGUUGGCGGGGUAAUGGCCCACCAAGACGAUGAUCGGUAUCCGGCCUGAGAGGGCGCACGGACACACUGGAACUGAAACACGGUCCAGACUCCUACGGGAGGCAGCAGUGGGGAAUUUUGCGCAAUGGGGGAAACCCUGACGCAGCAACGCCGCGUGGAGGAUGAAGUCCUUCGGGACGUAACUCCUUUCGAUCGGGACGAUAAUGACGGUACCGGAAGAAGAAGCCCCGGCUAACUUCGUGCCAGCAGCCGCGGUAAUACGAGGGGGGCGAGCGUUGUUCGGAAUUAUUGGGCGUAAAGGGUGCGUAGGCGGUUUUGUAAGUCUCAUGUGAAAUCUAUGGGCUCAACUCAUAGACUGCAUGAGAAACUGCAGGGCUCGAGUGUGGGAGAGGUGAGUGGAAUUCCUGGUGUAGCGGUGAAAUGCGUAGAUAUCAGGAGGAACACCUGUGGCGAAAGCGGCUCACUGGACCACAACUGACGCUGAUGCACGAAAGCUAGGGGAGCAAACAGGAUUAGAUACCCUGGUAGUCCUAGCCCUAAACGAUGACUGCUUGGUGUGACGGGUACCCAAUCCCGCCGUGCCGUAGCUAACGCGUUAAGCAGUCCGCCUGGGGAGUACGGUCGCAAGGCUGAA
Molecule: ribosomal RNA, 843 nt
Filed under: uncultured bacterium
Lineage: Bacteria
Description: bacterial SSU rRNA
Rfam family: Bacterial small subunit ribosomal RNA
Source: RNAcentral